GUGAACCUGCGGAAGGCUCAUUG
This 23-nucleotide ribosomal RNA is filed under the name Boerhavia purpurascens. Its description in RNAcentral is "partial 18S ribosomal RNA". The record is from RNAcentral. Lineage: Eukaryota; Viridiplantae; Streptophyta; Magnoliopsida; Caryophyllales; Nyctaginaceae.